Molecule: non-coding RNA, 83 nt
Organism: Nematostella vectensis (starlet sea anemone)
Lineage: Eukaryota; Metazoa; Cnidaria; Anthozoa; Actiniaria; Edwardsiidae
Source: Rfam
ACCAGGAUGGCCGAGUGGUUAAGGCGUUGGACUUAAGUUCAAAUGUACGGAUGUACGCGUGGGUUCGAACCCCACUCCUGGUA